AUGACACUUCUAUCCUUUGCUGUAGAAGAGCCUAGGUCACUGCCUGUUCCCAGGCCGUGUGGCUCUUCCAAUAACAAUUCCCCAAAUGUGGUAACACCGCCUACCCUGUGCUCCGCAAGCCUGAGGCUAAUUGUUCAGUGUCAGAUGAGUCCCAGUGCCCUCAUGCCAGGAUUACAGGGGGCAGGAAAUCAACUGAGCCAGGACCCACAGCUGCCCAGCAGAACACAGCUCCUUAAAAAGCAGGUAUCAAAUCUGACCUUAUCUAUCCUUCAGGCUGUCCAACUCAUCUCUGCUCCCACUGCCUUAUCUCUCACUAUUCCCCAAACAGAGCUUCGAAUACUGAAUACUGACACGCCUGCUACUUUUCUCUCUGGUGCACAUAUUUUGCAUUCUUCCCAUUCUUAUCUUUGCUCUUCUUCUCUGUUGCAUACUUGGGAUGUUCUCUAUUACCAUCUGUGAAAGCUUCAGCAGACGCUAACUACUCAAAAUUAGUUUCCUUUUAAUUGUCUCUUCAGACGGUUAUUUUUGCUUGAAUUAUGGGAUACAUCCUUAUUGCAUUCUCAAUGCCCCAUGUUUAAGAACAAAGGGCUUGGCUCCAGUUAAAGGCAAGUUAGAAUCCUGGGUCUGUUUUCUCAUCUAUGUCUCACUUGUUUCACUCAUAAUAUAGAGAUUUCACAGUUAAUGUUGAGGGGAUUUCAUGGGAUAAGUUAAAUAAAAUGCUUGAUAUAUGAUGAUAAGUCCA
RNAcentral lists this long non-coding RNA (742 nucleotides) under Oryctolagus cuniculus (rabbit). RNAcentral describes it as "lncRNA (ENSOCUG00000030234.1)". The record is from RNAcentral. Lineage: Eukaryota; Metazoa; Chordata; Mammalia; Lagomorpha; Leporidae.